UAGGGAAUCUUCGGCAAUGGACGGAAGUCUGACCGAGCAACGCCGCGUGAGUGAAGAAGGUUUUCGGAUCGUAAAGCUCUGUUGUAAGAGAAGAACGAGUGUGAGAGUGGAAAGUUCACACUGUGACGGUAUCUUACCAGAAAGGGACGGCUAACUACGUGCCAGCAGCCGCGGUAAUACGUAGGUCCCGAGCGUUGUCCGGAUUUAUUGGGCGUAAAGCGAGCGCAGGCGGUUAGAUAAGUCUGAAGUUAAAGGCUGUGGCUUAACCAUAGUAGGCUUUGGAAACUGUUUAACUUGAGUGCAAGAGGGGAGAGUGGAAUUCCAUGUGUAGCGGUGAAAUGCGUAGAUAUAUGGAGGAACACCGGUGGCGAAAGCGGCUCUCUGGCUUGUAACUGACGCUGAGGCUCGAAAGCGUGGGGAGCAAACAGGAUUAGAUACCCUGGUAGUCCACGCUGUAAACGAUGAGUGCUAGGUGUUAGACCCUUUCCGGGGUUUAGUGCCGUAGCUAACGCAUUAAGCACUCCGCCUGGGGAGUACGACNAGCAAGGUUG
RNAcentral lists this ribosomal RNA (551 nucleotides) under uncultured bacterium. RNAcentral describes it as "bacterial SSU rRNA". It matches the Rfam family "Bacterial small subunit ribosomal RNA", at positions 355 to 896 of the family's 1533-position model. The record is from RNAcentral.